GGGGGGAUGGCUCAGUUGGGAAGAUCUGAGUCUGGUUUACCCUUUCGAUUUAUCGAGAGGUCGUAGGUUCGAAUCCCGCUCCCCCCC
This is a non-coding RNA of Copromyces sp. CBS 386.78, 87 nucleotides long. NCBI's taxonomy places the organism in Eukaryota, Fungi, Ascomycota, Sordariomycetes, Sordariales, Sordariaceae. The record is from the annotation of a GenBank genome assembly.